CCUACGGGAGGCAGCAGUGGGGGAUAUUGCGCAAUGGGGGAAACCCUGACGCAGCAAUGCCGCGUGAAGGAUGAAGGUCUUCGGAUUGUAAACUCCUUUUGUUCGAGAGUAAUAAGAGGCUUGCGGGCCUCGAUGAGAGUAUCGGACGAAUAAGCAUCGGCUAACUCCGUGCCAGCCGCCGCGGUAAU
Molecule: ribosomal RNA, 188 nt
Filed under: uncultured bacterium
Lineage: Bacteria
Description: partial 16S ribosomal RNA
Rfam family: Bacterial small subunit ribosomal RNA
Source: RNAcentral